UUGGCUCCACCAUUGUCAGA
This 20-nucleotide small nuclear RNA is filed under the name Arabidopsis thaliana (thale cress). Its description in RNAcentral is "snRNA_04778". The record is from RNAcentral. Lineage: Eukaryota; Viridiplantae; Streptophyta; Magnoliopsida; Brassicales; Brassicaceae.